This is an RNA transcript of Prionailurus viverrinus (fishing cat), 7171 nucleotides long. It is a transcript of the gene named REST corepressor 1, with no coding region annotated. Lineage: Eukaryota; Metazoa; Chordata; Mammalia; Carnivora; Felidae. The record is from RefSeq and is a predicted model, not a curated record. The transcript is spliced from 12 exons.
GGCUCCCGGAGUAGUUAGUGCCAGUGAAGUGCGGGCGGCGAUGAGAGCGAAAGUUGCGCUCGGCUCGGCGCUGGGGGCUUGAAGCCGCACCGCGCUCCGCCCGCCGGGCCACCCCCGGCUCCGACUCGCGCCCGCGGGUUCCCGCCGCGCCCGCCCGGCCCCGCGCCUGCCCGCGCUCCUCCCCCCCACCCCCCCCCCCCCGCCCGGCGCCCCCUCCUCAGGAGCCGCGGGGCCCCGCCACUUUCGCCCGGCCCCGGCCCCCGCCGAUGCCGGCCAUGGUGGAGAAGGGCCCCGAGGUCUCAGGGAAGCGGAGAGGGAGGAACAACGCGGCCAGCUCGGCCGCCUCGGCCGCCGCCGCCUCCGCCGCCGCCGCCGCCUCGGCCGCCGCCGCCGCCUCGGCCACCGCCUCCGCCUCGGCCGCCGCCGCCGCCGCCUCCGCCUCGGCCGCCGCCUCGGCCGCCGCCGCCCCCAAUAAUGGGCAGAAUAAAAGUUUGGCGGCGGCGGCGCCCAAUGGUAACAGCAGCAGCAACUCCUGGGAGGAAGGCAGCUCGGGCUCGUCCAGCGACGAGGAGCACGGUGGCGGCGGCAUGCGGGUCGGACCCCAGUACCAGGCGGUGGUGCCCGACUUCGACCCCGCCAAACUAGCGAGACGCAGUCAAGAACGAGACAACCUUGGCAUGCUGGUCUGGUCACCUAAUCAGAAUCUAUCGGAAGCAAAACUAGAUGAAUACAUUGCCAUUGCUAAAGAGAAGCAUGGGUACAACAUGGAACAGGCUCUUGGGAUGCUCUUUUGGCAUAAGCAUAAUAUUGAAAAGUCAUUGGCUGAUUUGCCCAACUUUACCCCCUUCCCAGAUGAGUGGACUGUGGAAGAUAAAGUCUUGUUUGAGCAAGCCUUUAGUUUUCAUGGGAAAACUUUUCAUAGAAUCCAACAAAUGCUUCCUGAUAAAUCUAUAGCAAGUCUGGUGAAAUUUUACUACUCCUGGAAGAAGACAAGGACUAAAACCAGUGUGAUGGACCGCCACGCUCGGAAACAGAAGCGGGAGCGGGAGGAGAGUGAGGAUGAACUGGAAGAAACAAAUGGAAAUAACCCCAUUGACAUUGAGAUUGAUCAAAACAAGGAAAGCAAAAAGGAGGUGCCCCCUACGGAGACAGUUCCUCAGAUCAAAAAGGAGAAACAUAGUACGCAAGCUAAAAAUCGAGCAAAAAGGAAACCUCCGAAAGGAAUGUUUCUUUCUCAAGAAGACGUGGAGGCUGUUUCUGCCAACGCCACUGCGGCCACCACGGUGCUAAGGCAGCUAGACAUGGAGUUGGUCUCCAUCAAGCGGCAGAUUCAGAAUAUUAAACAGACGAACAGUGCCCUUAAAGAAAAACUUGACGGUGGAAUAGAACCGUAUCGGCUUCCAGAGGUCGCUCAGAAGUGUAACGCACGCUGGACCACGGAGGAGCAGCUGCUCGCAGUACAAGCCAUCAGGAAAUACGGCCGAGAUUUUCAGGCGAUCUCAGAUGUGAUUGGGAACAAAUCAGUGGUACAAGUGAAAAACUUUUUUGUAAACUAUCGACGCCGCUUCAACAUAGACGAAGUUUUACAAGAAUGGGAGGCAGAACAUGGGAAGGAAGAGACCAAUGGGCCCAGUAGCCAGAAACCUAUCAAGUCCCCAGAUAACUCUAUCAAGAUGCCUGAAGAGGAAGACGAGGUAAAUCUGAAACGGUAGGAUCUCUGCCAGGUUCAUGCUCCAUAUUCAGUUUCUUCUUUGAUGGCCUUUCUCAGCUGGAGAAAUAUUUUUAGCUCUCAGCUCUGUCAGUGACUUGACUUUUCCCUAUAAAAACCUUAAUAUGUGUGUUGACACCAGUUAGUUUUGGUCACUAGGUAUAUCGCUCACAUUUUAAUUCCCGUACAGAUUCCUAGUUCCAUCCUGGUUUUCUCCAGCCACAAAAUAUUGCACGUUACCAAAGUUUCCUUAGGUCCUGUAAGAACUCAGCCAUAAAACGGUAAGUUGGAAGUGCCGUGAGCAGUGUCGGUGAAGCUCGGUAUCGAAAACGUGUUGUCAUCUCAGUAGGAGGUUAAUGACCUUACUAGUGAAUCGGCUUGGCUAGCCAGCCAGGACCUCCUGCGUCCGUCUCUGCUGUCCCAAGUCGUCCAGGCUUUGAUGCUGUCGGGGCUAACAGGUUGAAGUAUUGAUGGAGACAGUUCUGGGUCCUGUGUUUGGCCGGAGCUUCCAGGCUGGUGGCCGACAUUCUGGCAAUCUCCAGGUUAGCUAUACCGAUUUCAUCGCCUACUCAGCAGAGAUUAGGCACGAGGUUACCGAGGCUGCACAGACCCAUCUGCUACCUCCCUGCUUCCUGUGACGGGGUCACCUGCCACUUCCCCGUCCAGCCUGGCCUGCCCUGCCCUGCCACUCCCACAGAGAGGAGGAGGGGGCCGGGCAGAGGUAAGAGUUAAUUGCCAAUCACUUUGGUGUGAGUUUGUUCACGGACACGGAAUUUUAAGGAUUAGUUGAGCUUUCCGGGAAAAUCUUCUCAUCAGAGGCUCCCCCAAACCGUGCGGGAGUGAUUUGAAAUUACCUAGUUAGUACUGUCUGUUCUCCCCCUUUGCUCCAAGGGUCUGGCUGUAGAAGCAGCCCAGAGACCCCCUCUUGAGCCGAGCACAGAGUGCCUCACGAGGGAGACCCCCCGCCCAACGUGACGCACCCAGCGGGUUGGGCUCUUUAGAGCUUUGUGCCAGAAAAUCUUUGGACUGUCGAUAACAUUUAUAGCAAAAUUCGUAUUAUUAACAAUGUGAGUGGUUCCCCCGAGCCUGAGACCCCGGAACAUAACGGCUUACAAGCAGAAGUUUUUAUCUCUCAGCAGUGAUGUUUGUCCCGGUGCUUGUUGUCCCUUUAGCAACAGAUUAACCUCUCUGAAGUCCUGGACUCAAUUUAGGAAGCAUUGAGAAGAUGAGAAUUAUGAAGGAAGGAACAUUAGAAUUUGCCGGAAUGAAAGCUUUCUUCCACGUAUGUUCUCGAGCUUUAGAGCCAGGAAGCAGAAAUCAUAGGAAACUCUCCAGAUUUUAUCAAAGCAGGUGUUGGCAGGGGCUGCUUCUGUGCUAGACGUCAGAUAUGCAUCUGCUUCCUGAGAAACUCCGCCAGCUUUGAGCACUUGGUAUGGACGCCUGUGUUAUCCAGGAUAUCAGGUAUCACACGCCAUCACCUAGCCACCUGCGUCACAUCCCUGUGGACAAGCAGCUGUUACCAAAAAAGGCGCGCACUUCCGGUCCUGUGCUGCAUCUGCCUUAAUCCUGUGCUCGUUCCUCCACGCUGGCGCCGCUCCCCAGAGAGGCCCGCCGCAUCUCACGCUCUGCCCCGGCGCUGGCGGAGCCUCGUGGCCCGCACGCCUCCCGUGACCCCGGGGACCCCUCCCCAGUCGGAGUUCCUGAGCCCCACCCGUGGCAGCUCUGCCCAGUCAGCAGCUUCAAACAGGUAGUCGACUUGGAAGGCACGACUCUGCUCCCGCAUGGCCUGCGGUUCCACCUCGUGCAUCGUGAAAUUUUCAGAGUGACUGUGACCUGUCGGCCUUUUGGAAAGUUUCUCUUGUUCUUCUCUGAGGCGUCCACCUAAGCGAUACCAUGCUUCUCUGGAAAUCGCAGGGUGCUGGCAGACUGCGUUAUAACCUUCGUCGUGCCAAACGUCCCGAGACAGCUCCCGUCUCCCCAGACAUCGGGCGUAAUUAGGGUUUGUAAAUUUAGCUGGCUCAAAUCUCGCCCUUCCCCCUUCCCAGCUGGUAGAGAGCUCAUUCACAGCAACUGUCCUUGGACAUCAGCUUAGAGGGAAUGUGGACUCGACACUUUCUGCCUUCAGCUUUCAGCACUGGAAUCCCGGGACAGGUGCCGCUCUGUCUUUCCCGGCCCCCCACCCCCACCCCCCCCCCCACCCCCCACCCCCCCCCCCCCCCCCCCCCCGCCAUCCGGCUCCAAGAGACGCGGUCCACACCACUGCACCUGGUGCUCGUGCAUUUGGAAUUGGUGCCUUCUCCUUUUGGCAAACCACGUUAUCGGCCCGUUUUCUGUUUUAGUGUCUUACUUCUUCUUUAAAGUUUAUUGCUUGCCAAAGAGAACAUCACUGAGAUUAGGAGACGGGGGAGAAAUUGCUGCAGAUUCUGACAGAGUGCAGAUUUUAAAUGUCAGGUUAGCUCCAUAAAGGGGAUUAGAAUGGCGGGUGAUGGCUUUAUAGAGCCACACGCUGUGCGUUCCCCAUCCUGCUGGUACGCCGUGUCACCCCGUACAGCCUUUUGUCCUUCGUGUGCUGAUGUGAUCGUCUAAACUCCAUCCUCCCUCUUUUAUUAUCAUAGUACAGGACAGAGAAGUGACCCGUUGGUUGGCUCUAGUAAGACCAAGACGGAAAGAAGCAGUGUGCAGAAGUGGUCUGUAAUGCCUUUUGGUUGGACUGGGAACAAGUAAAUAUUUCUCAUAAAUGUUCUGAGAUUUCCAGAAUCACUUGAUCUCGUACUGGACUGUGGACCUGCUGCAGGGCUGAGGGACAGACCUCACACUGCCCUCUCGCGUCCCCUGUGUCCCGCCCGCGGUCCGUGCAGCCCGCACUAAAUAUGUUGAAGGAGCUUUUCUGUCGCCGUAGUUUUGCGUCAUUGAAACACUUUUCCUGCUUUCAAUACCAAAAAGAAAAAAAAAAAUGCAGAUGCUUUAAGGCACAAACAGAAUUCGUAAGAAUUUAAAAUAUGCAAUUAAAAUUUGAUGUGUUUUGACUCCCAAGCACCUUGCUUUUUCCCUUUUUUUUUUUUUUUUUUUUAAGGUCAGCUGACUGUCUCUUUAGGAAGAGGGUCAGCUAGAAACCUAGACUUUGGAAUUGUACAUUUUUAGAAAUCCGGAGAAAGGUCAUUCUCAAGGGGAGUGAAGUGGGACUCUCCUGACUUCGUCAUCUUGUCCCUUCCCGGGGUGUCCGUGGGUCAGGUAAGAGCGUGUGAACGGCAUGAGAGGAGGCUGGCGCGGGCAGCGCAGUGACACUUAGGAACGACGCGGGGUGUGAGCCUGCUCUGGCUUUGGGAGAUGGCAGGGCGAACAUGGAGAGGAGGCGGCCUGCAGUUUGCACAUCGCUUCGAGGGGACACUGGGCGAGAAGCGAGGCCGAGGGUUCUCUGUGCUGCUUCUCGGGGCCUCCUUCCUCAUAACAGGGCAGCGGCAGGGGUCUCAUUCUGCCCGUAGGUCGGAGGCCUGUCCCUCUCUGCACGCCCGGGCCGUUUGCCUGGAGAGCUGGUCCCUUCUGGCAGUGCUCGCUGGCUCGAUGGCGCUUCCUCGGAAGCGUGGCGGGCCCCCGUGUGUCUUGCCCCGUGCCCUUACGUGCCGCCGGGCACCGAGCCGUCCCCCGUCCCGAAGGGUCGCUGCUCCGGCUUGGCGGACCACAGCGGCCUGGUUCUGGUCCCUCCACGGAGCAGAGGCAUAGCAUUGCCAUUCGCCUGAGGUUGGGAAGAUUAGAAAGGUGGUUGUCUUUGCCUGGCCCCCUUGUAGUUUCAUGCCUAAGGUAGCGUUGUGCUUCAGACGUUCCAUUACACUUGUCUUUGCGACGAUGUUGUAAAUGCAAGAAAUUACUUCGCUUUAAAAGCCGAGUGAUUGAUCUUAUUUAUGUGAAGCCCCCUUUUUAACAUAUCAAGACUUCGGUGCAUAGCAGGUCGUGUUUGGAUGUGUAAGGGUCCACAGUGACAGCUGCUUCGGAUGCAAUGUUCACUUAAGCUUUGUCUUCUUAAAAACGAUCAAUGUGAAUGUCAUAAUUAUAUAUAUAUUUUUGUGGGAAAUUUCUCCUAAGUAUAAGUUAUUGUGCAAAAUAUAGUACCACUGAAGCAAAUGAUAGUUUAACUUUUAGUUUAGAAAUCCUAAAAGAUAUAAAUUGUAUUGCAUAUGCAUUAAAAGUUUGUUUUAUUUAAUUUUAUGUAGGUGUGUAAGGCGUUAGGAAAAAAUUGUUUUCACUUAUCCAUUUAAACACCUUGUUACUUGAAUAUUGUGCUGACUGGUCCGAAACAGUGACCGGUCCUGUAACGUAGCUCUGUUGCCCAGCAAGUACAGGCCUCCGUCGUGCUGACCACAUACCCACUGUGUGGCCUCAGCACAUCUGUGCCCACCAGGACACCACUUCCUCAGAAGGGUCUUUGGUAGUUUGUAACCUGUGAGACCCUUCGAUAGUCGCACACCUCUCCGAUGAAAACGCGCAACUGAAAACGUUGCCGCGUUUUACGGGCUAAUUACGGAGUCGUCUCCCGUGUGUAAAAGUUCCCUCAGACCUCACACGCCGCUCUGAGUGUGCUCAUCGUCACUUUAAAUUUCAACUACGCCCUAUUUUUGUCUUUCUAAAUAUCAGAUGUACUAUUGGUAUCCUUGCGUACCAAAACUAAGCCACACAGUGCAUUACACUAACUGGAUCCCUGCUUCGCGGAGCAAAGGAAAGACGGAGCCCACUCCCGACGAGAGCCUCGCUUCCUCUCUCGUCCAGCCUGUGUCCGAGCCUAGUGACCCAGGAGUCCAGCUUUCAGUACCCAGUGAAACUUUGCUUCGAGUGGACUCAAGGUAGUUAGCUGAUCUGAACCUAGUGAUCCCGUGCAAUGCUCAGAAACAAAUCCUCUCUCCGCCACUCCCCGGGUCCCCGCAGCUCUUCCCUCACGAUAGUAAAGCACAAUUGCAGCAAUGUUACAAUUCAGAAGGAAGGUCAGUGUAGUCUAUGCAUGUUGUGUGAUGAUGAGUGUUUACAGUCACCUCCGAAAACUAAAGUUUAUACUGGAGUGGAUAGUAUUCCAUUAUGUAGACCUAUCAACUUUGCUAAGUGCUUUUUAGAUUGCUUAAAAAUUUUUCAAGAUUUUAAAAGAUGUAUAAGGUUAAGUUUGCAAAUAUAAUGGAAAUGCUGUAUAUCUUUUGAAGUGAUAAAAUCCACGUUGGAAUUUUAAAGAAAAUAUGUUGUAAUAAUGCUGUUGUAAGUAAUAUUUUAAUGUCUCUUUCUGCCUGUUUUCUAUAUCAGCACAUUCAUUGUGGUGAAUGUUCAUAGCAUUAUAAUUGCUUAGCCAUUGAAUGAUAACGUUUGUUAGUGGAGAUUGAAAAAUUUAUUUGUGAAAUUCUGCAGAAUUCAUUUUUCUAUUUCUAAUAUUUGCUGAGGUUAAAUAAAAAUUUUCAAGCCAUUGAUGUAAUAAAAUAUGAAAGAAAA